Long non-coding RNA from Arabidopsis lyrata subsp. lyrata, 1115 nucleotides. RefSeq lists it as uncharacterized. The record is from RefSeq and is a predicted model, not a curated record. Lineage: Eukaryota; Viridiplantae; Streptophyta; Magnoliopsida; Brassicales; Brassicaceae. The transcript is spliced from 2 exons.
AUAAAAUAAAAUAAAAAUUUGCCCCGUGUGAAAUCCUAGUUAAGAACAUAAGACCAAGAUAGAGUUUAUCGACUGCACAUAACAAUUCACAGCAAUUGAUAGUUGCCUUUCUUUAAUCUUUAUUGUAAAUCUAUGUUUGGCUAUCAGUUUUGAUGAUUAUUACAGACAAGAAGUUCAUUUCCGUUUCUUAUUUGUUCCCAAUAGUUUUGUAUUAAUCGAAUGCGGAAUUGCGGAUAUGAUAGAAAAACAAUAGGGCCAUAGUUUGGAUAGAGGCCCGUUUGGUUAGAUAAAAGCCCAUUUGGUUUACAUGUGACCCAAAAACACUAAUUAGUGAUGCGGGACUAAUCUGGUACGGUACGAAGUUGGAAUCUUACCAUAGACAUUAGACACGCUGGACAGAGAGAAUCUCCGGUGUUGUUGUCGCCGAUCUUCAUCUUCUUCUUCUUCGUCGACGAAUCAUACCAAAAUUUCGUCGACAUCGGACCAAGAGAAUCACCAAACUUCCGAAUAACUUCUGCAGAGAUCUAAACUUCCGGUCAAUCGUCAGAUCAUCGAUUCUCGGAGGAACUUCCAAAAUUUUAGGUCAUUGUGUGAUUUUCUAGACUUGAACUAUGGAAAGACAAGUUCCACUUCCAAGAGGAGUUCGAUUCUCUGUUAAAGAUAUUGACCUGAUCGAUGAUUUCCUGAGACCCCAUGUAAACGAAGAGAUCAUUCAAGACAACGUAAUUGAGUCUAAAGACAUUUAUGAAAAGGAACCGGGAGAGCUAGAACAUCGAUUUAAUCAGUACUAGAAGCUUCCGCUCCAUAGAGAGAUCUAUGGUGAUCCAAUCUAUGACAUCUACGAAGAUGUCGUACAAGAAGAUAUUCGUGCGAAUUUCGUGCAACAUACAAGUGGUGCAAAAUUCGGUUCAGAUAUGGUUCGUGCAAAUUUUGGGCAGAAUCAAAAGUUGGAGAUAAAGACAGAUAUUCGAAGAUCUCCAUUGCUGAAAACCCUGAUGAAGAUUCGAGGGCGAAUCUUUCUUGGCCGGCGAGACCUGAUGCAGCGUAUAUUUGAAUAAUUCCAAAUAUCUUUAUUAUUUCCUAAUAUCUCUAUUUAGUUAUUUAGAUAAUUUCUA